GACGAACGCUGGCGGCGUGCUUAACACAUGCAAGUCGAACGGAAAGGCCCUGCUUUUGUGGGGUGCUCGAGUGGCGAACGGGUGAGUAACACGUGAGUAACCUGCCCUUGACUUUGGGAUAACUUCAGGAAACUGGGGCUAAUACCGGAUAGGAGCUCCUGCUGCAUGGUGGGGGUUGGAAAGUUUCGGCGGUUGGGGAUGGACUCGCGGCUUAUCAGCUUGUUGGUGGGGUAGUGGCUUACCAAGGCUUUGACGGGUAGCCGGCCUGAGAGGGUGACCGGCCUCAAUAGGACUAAGAGACGGACCAGACUCCUACGGGAGGCAACAGUGGGGAAUAUUGCACAAUGGGCCGAAGCCUGAUCCAGCAACGCCGCGUACGGGAUGACGGCCUACGGGUUGUAAACAGCUUUGGACUGUGACGAAGCGUGAAUGACGGUAAUCGAUAAAGAAGCACCGGCUAACUACGUG
Molecule: ribosomal RNA, 468 nt
Filed under: uncultured bacterium
Lineage: Bacteria
Description: partial 16S ribosomal RNA
Rfam family: Bacterial small subunit ribosomal RNA
Source: RNAcentral